CCUACGGGAGGCAGCAGUGAGGAAUAUUGGUCAAUGGUCGGGAGACUGAACCAGCCAAGCCGCGUGAGGGAGGAAGGUACAGAGUAUCGUAAACCUCUUUUGUCAGGGAACAAAGGCGGGGACGUGUCCCCGGAUGAGUGUACCUGAAGAAAAAGCAUCGGCUAACUCCGUGCCAGCAGCCGCGGUAAUUCGGAGGAUGCGAGCGUUAUCCGGAUUUAUUGGGUUUAAAGGGUGCGCAAGGGGUCUGUUAAGUCAGCGGUGAAAGCCCGGGGCGCAACCCCGGCCCGCCGUUGAAACUGGCAGUCUCGAGUGGGAGAGAAGAAUGCGGAAUGCGCGGUGUAGCGGUGAAAUGCAUAGAUAUCGCGCAGAACUCCGAUUGCGAAGGCAGCAUGCCGGCUCCACACUGACGCUGAGGCACGAAAGCGUGGGUAUCGAACAGGAUUAGAUACCCUGGUAGUC
RNAcentral lists this ribosomal RNA (459 nucleotides) under uncultured bacterium. Its description in RNAcentral is "partial 16S ribosomal RNA". It matches the Rfam family "Bacterial small subunit ribosomal RNA", at positions 338 to 795 of the family's 1533-position model. The record is from RNAcentral.